GAUGAACGCUGGCGGCGUGCCCAAUACAUGCAAGUCGAGCGAACAGACGAGGAGCUUGCUCCUCUGACGUUAGCGGCGGACGGGUGAGUAACACGUGGAUAACCUACCUAUAAGACUGGGAUAACUUCGGGAAACCGGAGCUAAUACCGGAUAAUAUAUUGAACCGCAUGGUUCAAUAGUGAAAGACGGUUUUGCUGUCACUUAUAGAUGGAUCCGCGCCGCAUUAGCUAGUUGGUAAGGUAACGGCUUACCAAGGCAACGAUGCGUAGCCGACCUGAGAGGGUGAUCGGCCACACUGGAACUGAGACACGGUCCAGACUCCUACGGGAGGCAGCAGUAGGGAAUCUUCCGCAAUGGGCGAAAGCCUGACGGAGCAAUGCCGCGUGAGUGAUGAAGGUCUUCGGAUCGUAAAACUCUGUUAUUAGGGAAGAACAAAUGUGUAAGUAACUAUGCACGUCUUGACGGUACCUAAUCAGAAAGCCACGGCUAACUACGUG
Molecule: ribosomal RNA, 497 nt
Filed under: uncultured bacterium
Lineage: Bacteria
Description: partial 16S ribosomal RNA
Rfam family: Bacterial small subunit ribosomal RNA
Source: RNAcentral